GGUUAAGCGACUAAGCGUACACGGUGGAUGCCCUGGCAGUCAGAGGCGAUGAAGGACGUGCUAAUCUGCGAUAAGCGUCGGUAAGGUGAUAUGAACCGUUAUAACCGGCGAUUUCCGAAUGGGGAAACCCAGUGUGAUUCGUCACACUAUCAUUAACUGAAUCCAUAGGUUAAUGAGGCGAACCGGGGGAACUGAAACAUCUAAGUACCCCGAGGAAAAGAAAUCAACCGAGAUUCCCCCAGUAGCGGCGAGCGAACGGGGAGGAGCCCAGAGCCUGAAGCAGUGUGUGUGUUAGUGGAAGCGUCUGGAAAGGCGCGCGAUACAGGGUGACAGCCCCGUACACAAAAAUGCACAUACUGUGAGCUCGAUGAGUAGGGCGGGACACGUGGUAUCCUGUCUGAAUAUGGGGGGACCAUCCUCCAAGGCUAAAUACUCCUGACUGACCGAUAGUGAACCAGUACCGUGAGGGAAAGGCGAAAAGAACCCCGGCGAGGGGAGUGGAAAAGGAACCUGAAACCGUGUACGUACAAGCAGUGGGAGCCUCUUUAUGGGGUGACUGCGUACCUUUUGUAUAAUGGGUCAGCGACUUAUAUUCUGUAGCAAGGUUAACCGAAUAGGGGAGCCGAAGGGAAACCGAGUCUUAACUGGGCGUUAAGUUGCAGGGUAUAGACCCGAAACCCGGUGAUCUAGCCAUGGGCAGGUUGAAGGUUGGGUAACACUAACUGGAGGACCGAACCGACUAAUGUUGAAAAAUUAGCGGAUGACUUGUGGCUGGGGGUGAAAGGCCAAUCAAACCGGGAGAUAGCUGGUUCUCCCCGAAAGCUAUUUAGGUAGCGCCUCGUGAAUUCAUCUCCGGGGGUAGAGCACUGUUUCGGCAAGGGGGUCAUCCCGACUUACCAACCCGAUGCAAACUGCGAAUACCGGAGAAUGUUAUCACGGGAGACACACGGCGGGUGCUAACGUCCGUCGUGAAGAGGGAAACAACCCAGACCGCCAGCUAAGGUCCCAAAGUCAUGGUUAAGUGGGAAACGAUGUGGGAAGGCCCAGACAGCCAGGAUGUUGGCUUAGAAGCAGCCAUCAUUUAAAGAAAGCGUAAUAGCUCACUGGUCGAGUCGGCCUGCGCGGAAGAUGUAACGGGGCUAAACCAUGCACCGAAGCUGCGGCAGCGAC
Molecule: ribosomal RNA, 1170 nt
Filed under: Escherichia fergusonii
Lineage: Bacteria; Pseudomonadati; Pseudomonadota; Gammaproteobacteria; Enterobacterales; Enterobacteriaceae
Description: partial 23S ribosomal RNA
Rfam family: Bacterial large subunit ribosomal RNA
Source: RNAcentral